Molecule: unclassified non-coding RNA, 144 nt
Filed under: uncultured Helotiales
Lineage: Eukaryota; Fungi; Ascomycota; Leotiomycetes; Helotiales
Description: sequence contains ITS2
Source: RNAcentral
UAACCCCUCAAGCUCAGCUUGGUGUUGGGGCCUGCCGUUUGGCAGCCCUUAAAAUCAGUGGCGGUGCCACCUGGCUCUAAGCGUAGUAAUUCUUCUCGCUACAGAGUCCUGGUGGAUGCUUGCCAUCAACCCCCAAUUUUCUAU